CCUUACUAUUUCUUUCCAUCUUUUUAUUUUCUCAAUGUUCUGAAUUCAGAAAUGAAAUGGGAGACUUCAUAAUUAUUUCUGACCCAAAAAUAUUAAUGCUUGAAGCCUGUAAGAAGGAAAACUGAUGUGUAAUUUAGGCAUUUUUGGGAAUAGCAAAUUAUCAACUUCAAUCUUCUUUCCAGAUCUACAAUGUGGUUCUCUUUUUUAGCAAAAUGGUGGUUUAACAUCCAUUAUUUUGAAUUCUGACUGGUGAAUUUGAAAAUGAAAACAAUCAAUGUGCUCCUGAUUCACUCAAAUUGCUGCUCUAGAUUUAGUGACCCUGAGAUGAAAAUAACUUGCUCUGAUCUUGGUUCUGAAGGGCUUAAAGUUUUAAGCUAGUAUAUCAAUUAUGGAUUUUUAGGCUCUGUUCGGUUAGCUUGCUAAUGUGCGUGUUUUCAAUUUUUAUUUAUUUAUUUUGUUAGGGAAAAAAACCUUAGCAAGAUUUAGCAUUAAUAUUUCUUUUACGGUGUCUGAUUACUUGAUUGUGGAAUUUAAGUGAGGACAUUCCAUAAUAAAAAUUUGUUGUAUUGUCAAUAGGAAUGGUAUUAAACAGAG
Molecule: unclassified non-coding RNA, 594 nt
Filed under: Hevea brasiliensis (rubber tree)
Lineage: Eukaryota; Viridiplantae; Streptophyta; Magnoliopsida; Malpighiales; Euphorbiaceae
Source: RNAcentral